UACGUAGGGGGCAAGCGUUACCCGGAUUUACUGGGUGUAAAGGGGGCGCAGACGGCGAUGCAAGCCAGGAGUGAAAGCCCGGGGCCCAACCGCGGGACUGCAUUGGGAACUACCGGGCUGGAGUGCCGGAGAGGUAGGCGGAAUUCCUAGUGUAGCGGUGAAAUGCGUAGAUAUUAGGAGGAACACCAGUGGCGAAGGCGGCCUACUGGACGGUGACUGACGCUGAGGCUCGAAAGCGUGGGGAGCAAACAGG
This 253-nucleotide ribosomal RNA is filed under the name uncultured bacterium. RNAcentral's name for it is "partial 16S ribosomal RNA". It matches the Rfam family "Bacterial small subunit ribosomal RNA", at positions 524 to 776 of the family's 1533-position model. The record is from RNAcentral.